CAAUAGUGUUGCAUUAUCACCUUCGAAACAUCACAGGCUGAUGGAGAGACGCAGAUGUUACCGGCCCAUUGAACCCGAAGCCGAACGCUCUGGUUUUUUGGACGAGGAGACGUAGAGUGUU
Caenorhabditis elegans is the source of this 121-nucleotide non-coding RNA. The record is from Ensembl. NCBI's taxonomy places the organism in Eukaryota, Metazoa, Nematoda, Chromadorea, Rhabditida, Rhabditidae.